AGCGAACGCUGGCGGCAUGCCUAAUACAUGCAAGUCGAACGAGACCUUCGGGUCUAGUGGCGCACGGGGGCGUAACGCGUGGGAACCUGCCCUUAGGUUCGGAAUAACUCCCCGAAAGGGGUGCUAAUACCGGAUAAUGUCUUCGGACCAAAGAUUUAUCGACUUUGGAUGGGCCCGCGUUGGAUUAGCUGGUUGGUACGGUAAAAGCCUACCAAGGCGACGAUCCAUAGCUGGUCUGAGAGGAUGAUCAGCCACACUGAGACUGAGACACGGCCCAGACUCCUACGGGAGGCAGCAAUGGGGAAUGUUGGACAAUGGGCGAAGGCCUGAUCCAGCAAUGCCGCGUGAGUGAUGAAGGCCUUAGGGUUGUAAAGCUCUUUUACCCGGGAUGAUAAUGACAGUACCGGAAGAAUAAGCUCCGGCUAACUCCGUG
RNAcentral lists this ribosomal RNA (433 nucleotides) under uncultured bacterium. RNAcentral describes it as "partial 16S ribosomal RNA". It matches the Rfam family "Bacterial small subunit ribosomal RNA", at positions 29 to 507 of the family's 1533-position model. The record is from RNAcentral.